RNAcentral lists this long non-coding RNA (546 nucleotides) under Homo sapiens (human). Its description in RNAcentral is "non-protein coding PCF11-AS1:23". The record is from RNAcentral. Lineage: Eukaryota; Metazoa; Chordata; Mammalia; Primates; Hominidae.
ACUUCCGGUUUCCUUUCCCUCAGCUAUUCCAUGGCUUUUCGUGUGGACAAAUCGGGAGGUGGUGUAAACUGGUUUUUGGUGAAAUUCGGCUCGGCCUCAUGCGAACCUAUCUAGGUCCGUCUCUGGAGUGGCCUGUCAUCGAUCGCGCCCUCCAUCGCUGAGCGACACAAGUGGAACCCCCCAGGACUGCAUUCUGCUUUUGGUCUGUGAACACAUUUGGGAAAUUCUUCUGAUCCUACCGCUACUCUCUUGAGAGAGAGAAACAAGGGAAAAAAAAGUUAAUUGCCUGAGGAUAUACUGCUAGUGUUGCGGGACAAAUAGAGACGGGAGAGGCCAAACAGAAUUCAGGACAACCCUUUAUUAUUAAGCGCGCUAGGGAGGGAAGCAGGAACUCGUGGUGCCUCAAGGAACGUGAAACGGUGGAACACAGAUAAGCCUCUCCGUGCGUAGAGGAGAAAUAAGCGGUUAAUAUUCUCUCUUAACCCAGGCCUCCGGAGGGUGGGGGGCUAUAUUUCAUUCUACCUCUAAGGAAAAGAAUAAACUUCU